AACGAACGCUGGCGGCAUGCCUAACACAUGCAAGUCGAACGAGACCUUCGGGUCUAGUGGCGCACGGGUGCGUAACGCGUGGGAAUCUGCCCUUGGGUUCGGAAUAACAGUUGGAAACGACUGCUAAUACCGGAUGAUGACGUAAGUCCAAAGAUUUAUCGCCCAAGGAUGAGCCCGCGUAGGAUUAGCUAGUUGGUGAGGUAAAGGCUCACCAAGGCGACAAUCCUUAGCUGGUCUGAGAGGAUGAUCAGCCACACUGGGACUGAGACACGGCCCAGACUCCUACGGGAGGCAGCAGUGGGGAAUAUUGGACAAUGGGCGAAAGCCUGAUCCAGCAAUGCCGCGUGAGUGAUGAAGGCCUUAGGGUUGUAAAGCUCUUUUACCCGGGAUGAUAAUGACAGUACCGGGAGAAUAAGCGCCGGCUAACUCCGUG
Molecule: ribosomal RNA, 433 nt
Filed under: uncultured bacterium
Lineage: Bacteria
Description: partial 16S ribosomal RNA
Rfam family: Bacterial small subunit ribosomal RNA
Source: RNAcentral